RNAcentral lists this ribosomal RNA (975 nucleotides) under Triticum aestivum (bread wheat). RNAcentral's name for it is "partial small subunit ribosomal RNA". Lineage: Eukaryota; Viridiplantae; Streptophyta; Magnoliopsida; Poales; Poaceae. The record is from RNAcentral.
AUGGCCGCAGCACUCCUCCUCCUGGUGCCGCCCGUCGGCCUCCUCGCCGCGCUCGCCUUCCUGACCCGUCCCCGGGCCGCGCGAAUCCCGCUCAAGGGCCGCCACGUCUUCAUCACCGGCGGGUCCAGCGGCAUCGGGCUCGCCCUCGCCACGGCCGCCGCGCGGGAGGGCGCGCGGGUCUCCAUCCUCGCGCGCAACGCCGCCCGCCUCGACGACGCGCGCGCCGCCAUCAGGCUUGCCACGGGACAGGACGUCGGGGUCCACCAGGCCGACGUGCGGGAUGCCGCCGCCGUGGCACGCGCACUUUACGAGGCCGGGCCUGUCGACGUGCUCGUCUGCAACCACGGCGUGUUCGUGCCGCAGGAGCUGGAGAAGCAGGACAUGGAGGAGGUCAAGUGGAUGGUGGACAUCAACCUCAUGGGGACCUUCCACCUCAUCAAGGCCGCGCUCCCUGCCAUGAAGGCACGCACCCGCGAGACCAGUCUCCCGGCGUCCAUUGCCAUCAUGUCAUCGCAGGCUGGUCAGGUUGGUGUUUAUGGGUAUACUGCUUACUCCGCGAGCAAGUUCGCACUAACUGGACUUGCAGAGUCGCUGCAGCAUGAGGUUGUUUCGGACGACAUUCAUGUGUCGCUGAUCUUCCCUCCUGACACAGAGACACCGGGUCUUGUCGAGGAGAAGAAAAAGAGGCCAGAGCUUACCACUAUCAUAGCAGAUUCAUCUGGUGGAAUGAAGGCUGAUGAUGUUGCUAUGAAGGCUCUAAACGGCAUCAAAUCUGGGAGGUUUAUUGUCCCCUGCAAUUUCGAGGGAGCAAUGUUAGCUAUAGCCACUUCUGGUCUAACCCCCCAGAGUUCCCCGUUAAUUGCAUUCGUGGAGGUGAUCGGUGCUGGACUGAUGCGAUUUGUAGCACUAUGUUUCCAGUGGAAUUGGUUCUCUACUAUUGAGAACUGGUAUGCCAAGAACAAGAAACAUGGGUGA